CAGAGGUCAAACUCCUAACUGCUACCCUAUAUUAUUUCACUUAAGACAAUAUUUUUAUUAGUUUUCCCCAGCUUUUUCAUUUUAUAGUUUUAAAAAAUGUUGAUGCUUGGAGUUCCUGCCAUGGCACUAUGUGUUUGGAGGUGUCUGGAGCACCAGGAUGCAGUUCGAGCCUGGUCUUCCAGCAAGAACAGUGGAUCGAGGAUCUGGCUCUGCCACAGCUGCCUUGUGGCUCAGACCUGAUCCCUGGCCUGGGACCUUCAUAUGCGGAGGAGCGGCCCAAAAAGAAGAAAAAAUGUUGCUUUUUAGUACUUACUAUUUUUCAAAGCUUCACUUGGAAGCAAAUACAUUAAAAAAAAAAUCAGUUUUUCUUCUUCACAAGUGAAUAGCUGAAAGAACCAAGAAAACAUUUUCAGGAAAACAUAGCUAAAGUAACUACAUCAAAUUAAAAUCUUUGUUAUGAUACUUGAAACGAAAUUUAAAACAUGUUAACAUUUGUUGAUUUGGGUAGUCUUACAUUUUCUGUACUGCUUCUGUGUUCUAAUGUGUGAUGGCAAAACACAAAUGUUUUUAAAAGAAUCAAUGUUUAAAAUAAUUUUUGAACCUCUGACUUAUUACCUGAAGCAAUAUUCAGUUUGAAUGACUUGGAACCCCAGUUGAAUCCUACAUGAUUGUGUUCAUCUUUGUGAUCCCCGAGAUGUAAAUUAUUCUGAAUUUCACCUUUCCUGAGUUAUUUUGGUAAUGUUAACUUAUACUACUGUAACAUGUUAAAUGAAAAUUCUUUUUUCUUCAUAAAACCAGCAAGGAAAAAUAAGCAACUCCAUCCAGUCCUCAGAUAUGUCAAAUAUCUUCUAUGUCGGAUAUGUGAAUACAAUUAUUCACAUUACCUAAGCCUGUCUUUAUUUUUAAAAGUCACAAAAAGCAGAUUCCCAGUCUGCCAGAAACUUUGACCAUUAAGGUGUUUUAGAGGUCUGACAAAUUUAUUUCCACACAAAAGUUAAAAAGAUAUAUUUAUUUCAUUUAACUCCUUCAUAAAUAAGAAUUUAGGUAGGAAAACUGUGGCUUAGAAAAUUGGCUAGCCCAAAGCCAGUCAACUGGUUAGUGGCAGAGUAAGUUACUGGACACUAAUUUUACAUUUUCUUCUACUUUAGUUUUUGUAUUUUCAAUAGCUGCCCAUAGCUUAAGGUGCUGACAUAGGUAGUUCUCAUCGUGGCUCAGUGGAAACAAAUCCGACUAGGAACCAUGAGGUUGAGGGUUCGAGCUCUGGCCUCUCUCAGUGGGUGAAGUAUCGGGUGUUGCCGUGAGCUGUGGUGUAGGGCACAGACACGGCUCAGAUCUGAUGUUGCUGUGGCGUUGGCUGGCAGCUGUAGCUCUGAUUGGACCCCUAGGCUGGGAACCUCCAUAUGCCUCGAGUGUGGCCCUAAAAAGCAAAAAAAAAAAAAAAAAAAGAUGCUGACAUAAAUCUCAUAGGUUGUUGCUUUGUAUUGAUGCUUGUAAUCUAUUUUAUUGGAACUCUUUAUCGAUGAGACUCUCCAGGGUUCACAUGAGUCUCUAUGAGAAAGGAUCACACUGAAUAGUUAAUAAUUUAUUAUUCAUGUGCUGGGACAGUAACCAGCAUGUUAGUGUUCUUUAAGUAUUUAAAUACAAAAUUUGGAAGAUGUAAACAUUAAAUCCAGCAAUUUCUGUUACUUUGUUCACUGUUAAUUCACCUCAGACAAGGCCACUUUUUAUGUUUAUAAAACGGGACAGUGUACAAUCUAGAUUCUAGAUAUUACAGAAUGAAUUAAUAUUUAUAAAGUAUUGUGAGGUAUCUAACAGGAUAUUUGAUACAUUUGGGAAAAUAUGUGGUAAUUUUUUCCACUUUUCUUAAUGGAAGAUUUUUCUUCCUUUAAAUUUUUUUUCUCUUACCACAACUUUAUACAUGUGGUAGAGAUUUGAUGUAGAACAUUGAAUACUUUUAACCUAACUUCAUUUCCUUGUUUUGUCCUGUCCCAGAUUUUCUAUAUCCCUUCAUGAGCUCACUCACCCAAUGUUUCCCUCUUGUUCCAAUAGAAUAUUAAUUUCUUAAGCAUUUUUACAUAUGACACUAUAUUCUCUAUGUCCCUGUAAUGAAAAGGAAUCACUAUACUAUUAGCUAUAAUUUGUUGAGCAUUUAUGUGUCAGAUGGGGAUUCUUACAACCUGUAAGAGCCAACACUUGGUGCUUCCUGUGUGACAGGCAUUGUUUUAAUUGCUUUAUAUAUAUUCACUUUAUCCUCAUAAUAAGUCUACAAAGUAGGUACCACUACUAAUACACCCAGUUUAGAAGAAAAACUGAAGAGAUUAAGUGACCUACCCAAAGUCACAAGUACUGUGAUAAAACCAAGCUAGGAAUCUGGGCCAAGCCUGUUCUUGAAUUGGAAAAAGUGAGUUUUCCAUCUGUAUUUUUCUCUUUUACUCGCACAGUAUUAACACUUCUGACUCCUUUCUGCCCUAUCAGCUGGGUGUCCUACACUUUUACUCAACUCUGACACCACCUGAAGAGAGCAUCUGAUCCCACAGGUUAAGGGCUGGGUCCCACAAGCCUGCCCCCACUCCACUUUAGAUGCCAGUCACAAGUCCAGAUUGCCAACUGUGCUUUUGACAGAUCCACUGUAAGUCUUAGGUUCCCACAACUCCCUCCUUGGGAUUAAUUUGCUAGAGUGGCUCACAGAACUCAGGGAAACACGUUUACAGUUUAUUAAAGGAUAUGAUAAAGAAUAUAGAUGAACAGCUGGAGAAGAGGUACACAGGGUGAAGUCUGGGAGGAUGCCCAGCACAGGAGCUUCUUGUCCCUAUGGGGUUGGCUCCAACACCCUCCCAGUACAAGGAUGUAUUCACUAUCCUGCAAGCUGCCCAGACCUCUUGGGAUUUUGUAGAGGCUUCCUCACAUGACUAAUUACUAAUUCCAUCUCCAGCUCCUCUGCCCUUUCUAGAGGAUUGGGGUCUGGGGCUGAAAAUUCCAAGCUUUUUCUUUUUUUUGCAUUUUAGGGCUGCACCUCUGGCAUAAUGAGUUCCCAGCUGUAGCUCUGGUUGGACCACUAGCCUGGAAACUUACACAUGCUGUGGGUGUGACGCUAAAAAGACAAUAAAAUAACAAAAUAAAACAUGGAUAAUAGAAUUUACUAUGAAAGAGGUGUUGUGAGUAAUAAUAAAUAAAAUGCUUACAAAAGUAACUUGGACUCAAUAUAAACUUUUAUCUCCAACCUACUUCUUUUGUUUAUAAGAAAACAAAAUAAUGUGGCAUGUGUGCUAGUCUGAGGCAGCAGCUGGUAAGCCAAAGGUUAAAAUGAAAGCUCAAAUUAAACUGGAUUGGGUCCAAAUCCUAAGCAUGUGUUCAUUAGAAAGUUAACCUCCCGGAAUUUUGGUGUUCUAUCAUUUCUGAUAGAACAGCCUCAUCUCACAAAGUUAUGGCAAGUGUUUUAGUAAAUAUUAACCAAUGACCAUCUCUGCAUUUCCAGCAGCUGGCACAAUGUUUAAUGAAUAAGCAGUGACAUAGUUAAGAUGUCCUUGGUUCUUUCCUUCACUAGUCCUCUCACUGUCUCCCCUGGCAUCAUCCUAAGACUUUUUAAGUUCACCAUCUUAUCAUCUUUCCCUACUGUAAAGACCAGAGUAACUGUAAAAAAAAAUAAAUUUGUUACCUCUUUCCCACUAGUAAUUAUAUUAGGUUUUCAGCAGUGUAAAAAGAGUGGAGUGUACAAAGAACCACUGCAAGUCACCAAAGGGGAAAUGGAAUUUUUAUCAUAUUUACCAUAUUAGGGAGUAUUAAAAAUAUUCACAAUUAACAUAAGUAAGGCAUAUCUCUAUUUUUAACCAAGUUCCUCUUCAUUCCUAAACUUUUACCAACAUAAAAUGUAUAAAAUUCUUAACAUUAAACCCUACUCUAGAAUUAUGCUUUAGGAGUUCCCGUUGUGGCACAGUGGCUAACGAAUCUGACUAGGAACCAUGAGGUUGCGGGUUCAGUUCCCUGGCCUUGCUCAGUGGAUUAAGGAUCCGGCGUUGCCCGUGAGCUGUGGUGUGGGCCGCAGACACGGCUCAGAUCCCGCGUUGCUGUGGCUCUGGUGUAGGCGGGAGGCUACAGCUCCCAUUAGACCCCUAGCCUGGGAACCUCCAUAUGCCGCGGGAGCUGCUCAAGAAAA
RNAcentral lists this long non-coding RNA (4153 nucleotides) under Sus scrofa (pig). RNAcentral's name for it is "lncRNA (ENSSSCG00015059997.1)". The record is from RNAcentral. Lineage: Eukaryota; Metazoa; Chordata; Mammalia; Artiodactyla; Suidae.